RNAcentral lists this small nucleolar RNA (106 nucleotides) under Choloepus hoffmanni (Hoffmann's two-fingered sloth). Its description in RNAcentral is "Small nucleolar RNA SNORA25 (ENSCHOG00000016048.1)". Lineage: Eukaryota; Metazoa; Chordata; Mammalia; Pilosa; Megalonychidae. The record is from RNAcentral.
AGGUCCCAAACCAGGAGCUCUUAACACUAUGAUCAAAGACUGAAGUUCUCCAUAGAAUAACACAGUCACUCAAUAGUGCUUUGUUUUUUUCCUGACAGAGAUAAGA